This 274-nucleotide ribosomal RNA is filed under the name uncultured bacterium. Its description in RNAcentral is "partial 16S ribosomal RNA". It matches the Rfam family "Bacterial small subunit ribosomal RNA", at positions 523 to 796 of the family's 1533-position model. The record is from RNAcentral.
AUACGGAGGGUGCAAGCGUUGUCCGGAUUUAUUGGGUUUAAAGGGUGCGUAGGCGGCCCGUUAAGUCAGUGGUGAAAGGCAUCAGCUUAACUGAUGAAGUGCCAUUGAAACUAGCGGGCUUGAGUACAGACGAGGUAGGCGGAAUUUAUGGUGUAGCGGUGAAAUGCAUAGAUACCAUAAAGAACACCGAUAGCGAAGGCAGCUUACUAGACUGAGACUGACGCUGAGGCACGAAAGCGUGGGGAGCAAACAGGAUUAGAAACCCCAGUAGUCC